This 67-nucleotide transfer RNA is filed under the name Daphnia laevis. RNAcentral describes it as "tRNA-Glu". Lineage: Eukaryota; Metazoa; Arthropoda; Branchiopoda; Diplostraca; Daphniidae. The record is from RNAcentral.
GCAAUUAUAGUAUAAUAAUUACUUUACAUUUUCAUUGUAAAAAUGAAUCGUUAUGAUUCUAAUAGCU